GUGCUCACUUCAGCAGCACAUAUACUAAAAUUGGAACGAUACAGAGAAGAUUAGCAUGGCCCCUGCUCAAGGAUGAUAUACAAAUUUGUGAAAUAAAGUCAACAGAA
Molecule: small nuclear RNA, 107 nt
Organism: Dipodomys ordii (Ord's kangaroo rat)
Lineage: Eukaryota; Metazoa; Chordata; Mammalia; Rodentia; Heteromyidae
Source: Ensembl